This 564-nucleotide ribosomal RNA is filed under the name Kodamaea ohmeri. RNAcentral describes it as "LSU rRNA". It matches the Rfam family "Eukaryotic large subunit ribosomal RNA", at positions 1 to 510 of the family's 3401-position model. Lineage: Eukaryota; Fungi; Ascomycota; Pichiomycetes; Serinales; Debaryomycetaceae. The record is from RNAcentral.
AAAAUAAUGACGACAGUACUCUACAAAACGGUACCGUCAGUACACUCAUUUUUUUUCCUCAAAUCAAGUAGGACUACCCGCUGAACUUAAGCAUAUCAAUAAGCGGAGGAAAAGAAACCAACAGGGAUUGCCUCAGUAACGGCGAGUGAAGCGGCAAAAGCUCAAAUUUGAAAUCCCCCCGGGGAGUUGUAAUUUGAAGAUUGCGUCUUGGAGGCGACCGUGUCUAUGUUCCUUGGAACAGGACGUCACAGAGGGUGAGAAUCCCGUGCGGCACGGCCCCCGGCUCCUUAUAAGGCGCUCUCGACGAGUCGAGUUGUUUGGGAAUGCAGCUCAAAGUGGGUGGUAAAUUCCAUCUAAAGCUAAAUACAGGCGAGAGACCGAUAGCGAACAAGUACAGUGAUGGAAAGAUGAAAAGCACUUUGAAAAGAGAGUGAAACAGCACGUGAAAUUGUUGAAAGGGAAGGGCAUGCCGUCAGAUUGUCAGUGUGGGUAAGAAGCGGGGUACAAAGACUGUGGAACGUGGCCCUCGGGUGUUAUAGCCGCAGUUCAUGCCCCGUCUCUUCC